GUAGGUGGCAAGCGUUGUCCGGAAUUAUUGGGCGUAAAGCGCGCGCAGGCGGUUCUUUAAGUCUGAUGUGAAAGCCCACGGCUCAACCGCGGAGGGUCAUUGGAAACUGGAGAACUUGAGUACAGAAGAGGAAAGCGGAAUUCCACGUGUAGCGGUGAAAUGCGUAGAGAUGUGGAGGAACACCAGUGGCGAAGGCGGCUUUCUGGUCUGUAACUGACGCUGAGGCGCGAAAGCGUGGGGAGCAAACAGGAUUAGAUACCCUGGUAGUCCACGCCGUAAACGAUGAGUGCUAAGUGUUAGGGGGGUUUUCCGCCCCCCUUAGUGCUGCAGCUAACGCAUUAAGCACUCCGCCUGGGAGUACGGCCGCAAGGCUG
RNAcentral lists this ribosomal RNA (374 nucleotides) under uncultured organism. RNAcentral's name for it is "partial 16S ribosomal RNA". It matches the Rfam family "Bacterial small subunit ribosomal RNA", at positions 527 to 896 of the family's 1533-position model. The record is from RNAcentral.